AAUCCUAUAUAGUUUUGCAGUAAGGCAUCUGUUGUGAAAAAGCUUCCUUGGGACCAGGGCAUACAUGCUCCCUGGAGGAAGGGAAACCCCACUGGUAGCCAGGCCACCCUCCCUGCAGGCCAUGACUGGGGCCUCAGGUCUGGUUCAGAGGCCUGUCCUCACUUAAUCCUCAGAAUGAUGGAAUGAAAUCAUCACACGGCACAAUCUGCUGUGGAUUUCUUUGCGGCUAGUCCAGACCAUCUGGAGCAGUUUCUGAGGAGACUACUUUGCUGUGGGUUGAAUCUUCAGCAAGUGUGUAUUAACACAUUUCCAGUGCAGUCUGCAGGGGUAUUACCAAAGGGAAUCCAAGGCCCUUUGACUAAAAAAUGUAAGCUGACCUGCAGUAUGCAAGUGCAGGGGGUCAACCAUUUGAUGUGGGAUAUAUCUUCAGGCCAUUCGAGUAGCUUCAUAGCUAAGUCUCAAAAUGCAACUUCCUGCAGUUGUGACCCAUGGACCUUUCAAGUACAGUGGAAGACUUGAUAGAUCAAUCAUGCAGUUUCCAGGACUCUCAAGCAUCAUUUGCUUCUCAGCUGAUUUUCUGGUAGUUGAACCAGGACAAUCAUCCAACAUUUUUCUUGUGAAAUAGAGUGUGUUUUAUUAAAAUCAUAUUUUGUAAAAAUUUAAUAAAGCAGCUCAAACUUUUUCAAGGCUAGACAAUACUUUGAAAACUGCUUCCAAAUCCCUGGCCUCAAUAUAUGAAUACUAAUUGUAUCUUAUCUACUGUGGGUUAUUGAAAUCCCAACCAGUAGGAAAGCUAAUCUGACAUCUCCAUUCACAUACACCUUCUUUUGAGCCUCUUUACAAUUCAGUCAGUGUUAUCAAUGAUUAAAUAUCCCAGUGCCUACAGUUUUAACCUUUCUUUUUUUUUUUUUUUUUUUAAAUCCCUUAACUUUUCUUUUUGGUUGUUACUUUCAGUUAGUGAACAGCUCAUUUUUGAGUAAAGACAUUGUGAAAUUCACUUAAAAUGAUUGUUUGAAGAUUUUAUUAAAAAAAAAAAAUCUCUAUAGACAGGCUCUGUCCUUCAUUACAACAAUAGAAAUCCUCAUUGUCUUCAGCAGUAUCACUCCAAAUUUGCAGGAAGGUU
Molecule: long non-coding RNA, 1123 nt
Organism: Pezoporus occidentalis (night parrot)
Lineage: Eukaryota; Metazoa; Chordata; Aves; Psittaciformes; Psittacidae
Exons: 3
Source: RefSeq, a predicted model, not a curated record